GACGUAGGGCGCGAGCGUUGUCCGGAUUUAUUGGGCGUAAAGAGCUCGUAGGCGGCUUGUCGCGUCGACCGUGAAAACUUGGGGCUCAACCCUGAGCUGGCGGUCGAUACGGGUAGGCUGGAGUUCGGUAGGGGAGACUGGAAUUCAUGGUGUAGCAGUGAAAUGCGUAGAGAUCAUGAGGAAGACCAGUGGCGAAGGCGGGUCUCUGGACAGUUCCUGACACUGAGGCACGAAGGCCAGGGGAGCAAACGGG
RNAcentral lists this ribosomal RNA (253 nucleotides) under uncultured bacterium. RNAcentral describes it as "partial 16S ribosomal RNA". It matches the Rfam family "Bacterial small subunit ribosomal RNA", at positions 524 to 776 of the family's 1533-position model. The record is from RNAcentral.